CAGUAGCCGCGGGAAUACGUAGGGUGCAAGCGUUAAUCGGAAUUACUGGGCGUAAGGCGUGCGUAGGUGGUGGUUUAAGUCCGUUGUGAAAGCCCUGGGCUCAACCUGGGAAUUGCAGUGGAUACUGGGUCACUAGAGUGUGGUAGAGGAUAGUGGAAUUUCCGGUGUAGCAGUGAAAUGCGUAGAGAUCGGAAGGAACAUCUGUGGCGAAGGCGGCCAUCUGGGACAACACUGACGCUGAGGCACGAAAGCGUGGGGAGCAAACAGGAUUAGAUACCCCAGUAGUCCCUGUCUCUUAUAC
RNAcentral lists this ribosomal RNA (301 nucleotides) under uncultured bacterium. RNAcentral's name for it is "partial 16S ribosomal RNA". It matches the Rfam family "Bacterial small subunit ribosomal RNA", at positions 509 to 807 of the family's 1533-position model. The record is from RNAcentral.